Molecule: ribosomal RNA, 118 nt
Filed under: Helianthus annuus (common sunflower)
Lineage: Eukaryota; Viridiplantae; Streptophyta; Magnoliopsida; Asterales; Asteraceae
Source: RNAcentral
GGUUGCGAUCAUACCAGCACUAAUGCACCGGAUCCCAUCAGAACUCCGCAGUUAAGCGUGCUUGAGCGAGAGUAGUACUAGGAUGGGUGACCCCUGGGAAGUCCUCGUGUUGCAACCC